CAGUUUUGCCCAUCAAACACACGGGAAUUAUUUUGUGCUCAGUGUCUUACUAGUGAAACUUGAAAAAUGGUUUCAAAAGAAUUGAAUUGAAAUUUGAUUAAUUUAUGCUAGAAAUUUCACACGUCCUGCAGGACGGGCAUUUUUGGGAGAUUAACUUGUCCAGAGUCAUUUUUACUCGUAUUUAUCAUUUAUGAGCGGACAAGUGGAUUUGUCGAGCCUUGAUUAACUGCAAGUGAUUAACCACAUUAUUUCCAUAAAACUUAUACUACAUGUAAUUACAUUGUAUGAGAUAAUAAAUCAUUUGACUUAGUAGUGAAGUAAGUUUAAGACUGCAUAAUAUUGAUAUAAAAGUGAAUUCAGUUAGUGGGUUCCAAACUACAGGUGGAAACUGUUCUAUUUUCUAUUCAAGUUUAUUUUUGAUGAAACAUAACUUAUUUCCUGACAACAGUUAUAUAUGCUUAACAAUGUUGUAUUUUGAUUCUUUCAAAAUCUGUUGAAAAUAUUCAUAAAUUCAUGAAAAGAAGUUAAAAAAAAGAGAAAGAAAUGAGAUUUGGGCAUAAUUUUUAAGAAGAUAAAGAUACUUCAAUGAAAAAGUAAGAUAGGUAACAAAAAUCAAUCAAAUGAAAAACACAUUUAAAUAUCAAGUUGUUCCUGACAUGUCAGAACAAAAUUAAUAAAAACUUUUUUGAAAUCUGGUAACCUUGAGCUAUGUUCUCUACCGAUUGAGCUAUUCCGACAAUUAUUACUCACUUUUACAAUUGUUAGUCAAUCAUAUCUGGACAUGCAACAUUCCACUUACCCAUAUAUAUGCCUUUAAAAAGGACUGUUUCGACUAUAAAUACUUGAAAUUAUAAAGAAAUUGCCCUAUUAUUCUUUACAGUCUAUUGUGUAUAGGCUAAAUUUAGGAGACACUUGUGAAAAUAUGCAAUGAAAAAUGAAUAAUUAGAUUGAAAAUACAGGAAAUGAAAAUGAGCAUUUUACUUUAUCAAUAUUUCUUAAUGUUUCAUUGAAGUAUGUAAUAAAUUAAAAGAAAUAUUGUAUUAAUUAGGAAAAGUUUUUAUUUCAGGUGUGUGAUUAAAGGCUUGUUUGUUAGAUUUCAAUUGUGGCACAGUUGGUUGUUUGCUGAGAAGCUGUGAAACGUAAUUAUACAGGCCAUUAAGGAGGUUUUUGUCAGAUUGAUGAAUGUGAAAUUAAGAGGACCCAUUUUGAGAAUGCAUCAAGAGAGAUAAAGUCUAAAAUGUGAUACUGUCAAUGUGACUAACCUUGAAGUAAACAGAUGACACAAUGUUUUUUCAAUGUCAUGGGCAUAUAAUGAAGAGAAAACAGAGAUGCUUGUUUGACAGAUACAGUAAUAGUAGGAGUUAUGAGGGAAGAUAGAUUGCAGUGAUAACUAUAUUGAGGCACCACUUCAUCACCAAGAACAUGAGAUGAAUUAUCAAUGUUUUCAAUGUGUUUGAACACCCAUUUUAAAUAAUACAGCUCAGAGUGAAUUUUUCAAAAUAAUUAAUUCUGUUUUCAAAGUUUUUUAUUUAAAUGUGAGUUGAUCUUGUCAAGUACUUUAUUUUUUUAGGGAUGGCAACAAAU
Long non-coding RNA from Ruditapes philippinarum (Manila clam), 1584 nucleotides. RefSeq lists it as uncharacterized. The transcript has 3 exons. NCBI's taxonomy places the organism in Eukaryota, Metazoa, Mollusca, Bivalvia, Venerida, Veneridae. The record is from RefSeq and is a predicted model, not a curated record.